CCGCGGUAAUUCCAGCUCCAAUAGCGUAUACUAAAGUUGUUGCGGUUAAAAAGCUCGUAGUUGGAUCUUGGAAUGUGUUCAAGCGGGUCAGCUUCUGGCUGUGCGCUGCUUGACGUGUUCUUCUAUUUGGUUUUGGUGCGGUGCGCUUAACUGCGUGUCGCUCCCGGCCGAAACGUUUACCUUGAAAAAAUUAGAGUGUUCAAAGCAGACCUGUUUGAGUCUGAAUAUUCGUGCAUGGAAUAAUGAAAUAUGAAUUCGGUUCUAUUUUGUUGGUUUUCGGAACUCGAGUUAAUGAUCAAGAGGGACAGACGGGGGCAUUCGUACUCUGCCGUUAGAGGUGAAAUUCUUGGAUCGGCGGAAGACGCGCAACUGCGAAAGCAUUUGCCAAGAAUGUUUUCUUUAAUCAAGAACGAUAGUCGGAGGUUCGAAGACGAUCAGAUACCGUCCUAGUUUCGACUGUAAACUAUGCCAGCUAACGAUCAGACAGAGUUCUCUACGACUUGUCUGGCAGUUUCCGGGAAACCAAAGCGUUUGGGUUCCGGGGGAAGUAUGGUUGCAAAGCUGAAACUUAAAGGAAUUGACGGAAGGGCACCACCAGGAGUGGAGCCUGCGGCUUAAUUUGACUCAACACGGGGAAACUCACCCGGCCCGGACACAGUGAGGAUUGACAGAUUGAGAGUUCUUUCUUGAUUCUGUGGGUGGUGGUGCAUGGCCGUUCUUAGUUGGUGGAGCGAUUUGUCUGGUUAAUUCCGAUAACGAACGAGACUCUGGCAUGUUAAAUAGUCGCGGAAGUGCGUAUGCACUUGCCGAAUUGACUUCUUAGAGGGACUAGUGAUUUUAAUUCACACGAGAUUGAGCAAUAACAGGUCUGUGAUGC
Molecule: ribosomal RNA, 877 nt
Filed under: uncultured eukaryote
Lineage: Eukaryota
Description: SSU rRNA
Rfam family: Eukaryotic small subunit ribosomal RNA
Source: RNAcentral